GACUUACCAUACCUGGCUGAAAUAUUAAGUAGGUAAUGCGCACUUAUAUUCCUGCUUAUGUUGAGUCAAGUGGUUAUAGUAACAAAAGGAUUACAAAUGCAGAAAUAACAACAAGGUAAAACCCAAAACCGUUGCUGAUGGGGGUAUUCGCAGUCGUCUCUCACUGGCUACACAUUCUUUCCCAAUGUUUCGAUAUAGUAUUUCUAUCGGCAUUUUAGUGUAAUCCGGCAAAUUGUUAACAAUCAAAAUGAUGUCAAAACGUUCAAUUCAAGAAAUCGCCGAAACUGUUACAGUAAUAGUUUAUGAAGCCGUCAACGAAAUUGUUUUGGGGAUAUUUGGCACAAUCAUGUCAGCUUUUUGGAUUUACGCUAGUGGCAAAUUCAAAGGAGACUUUUAUGAAGAGGGUAUCCCAUAUUUUUAUUUUUUUUUAGUCGCUGCUAUCUUGUGCGUUUUUAAAGGGUGUCUUCUCUUACGCAGCAUAAACUACAGGAAGAAACAAGGAAUUUUGAUUUAUUUUGUCCUAACUACUUUGGUUUUAAUAAUCGCCAAAGGAUUUCUCAUUCAUGAAGCAAUCUACAGGAGGCCACUAGUGCAAGCAGUGUCAAAACCUGGCGAAAGGUUAGAUGUAACAUAUAAAUUCCAGUAUUUUCUGUUCUAUCCUUUGGUUUUUCUCACUGCUUGGUUUUUCCAACUAUGUGUGAUUUUGUUCUAUCGAGAAGUAGCAAGGAAUCCCGUUGUAAAUGAACAUUUGGAAAGUUUUCCAGAAUGAGACGAGUUAAAACGUUACAUUAUAUCCAGGGUGAUGUCGUCACUAUUUCUUACUACCGUGAACUUGGAAAUGGUACAACAAACGGCUAAAAAUGAUAUUUAAAUAUUAAACAAUACCGAAAUUAGCAUAUCUUUUAGAAAACUGGCAGUUUGCAAUAUUCUAUAUUACAAAAGCGACUACUGGGAUAUUAGUUACACAGAACUCGACAUUCAACAUCGGACGUGAAGAGAACGUCUAAAGAAUAGACUAAAGAAAAAACUUAGUAAAUACGUUUUUCUGUCUUGUUACGAUUAUUUCAAAUUAAUUUUGUAUUUUACUUUUUAUAUUUUUUGUAAUAAAAACUAUGUUCAAAUUCCAA
Molecule: long non-coding RNA, 1127 nt
Organism: Zophobas morio
Lineage: Eukaryota; Metazoa; Arthropoda; Insecta; Coleoptera; Tenebrionidae
Exons: 4
Source: RefSeq, a predicted model, not a curated record